RNAcentral lists this ribosomal RNA (497 nucleotides) under uncultured bacterium. RNAcentral's name for it is "partial 16S ribosomal RNA". It matches the Rfam family "Bacterial small subunit ribosomal RNA", at positions 28 to 507 of the family's 1533-position model. The record is from RNAcentral.
GAUGAACGCUGGCGGCGUGCCUAAUACAUGCAAGUCGAGCGAACAGACGAGGAGUUUGCCCCUCUGACGCUGGCGACGGGCGAGUAAGGAACACGUGGAUAACUGACCGAUAAGACUGAGGUAAGGUCGCGAAACCGGAUCUAGUACACGAUAAUAUAUUGAACCGCAUGGUUCAAUGGUGAAAGACGGAUUUGCUGUCACUUAGUCAUGUAUCCGGGCCGCAUUAGCUAGUUGGUAAGGUAACGGCUUACCAAGGCGACGAUGCGUAGCCGACCUGAGAGGGUGAUCAGCCACACUGGAACUGAGACACGGUCCAGACUCCUACGGGAGGCAGCAGUAGGGAAUAUUGCGCAAUGGGCGAAAGCCUGACGGAGCAACGCCGCGUGAGUGAUGAAGGUCUUCGGAUCGUAAAACUCUGUUAUUAGGGAAGAAAAACUGUGUAAGUAAAUAUGCACGUCUUGACGGUACCUAAUCAGAAAGCCCCGGCUAACUACGUG